Operophtera brumata (winter moth) is the source of this 46-nucleotide non-coding RNA. Lineage: Eukaryota; Metazoa; Arthropoda; Insecta; Lepidoptera; Geometridae. The record is from Rfam.
CACUUGGCCCUUUUCAGGGCCACCAUACUUCAAGCUCGACAAAGAA